AUGGCAGGUCCGCGUCGCCCCGCUCUAACUUCCGCUGAAGCCCCUCGACCGUGCUCGGUCCCGGCGCGCCCGACUGCCCGUCCGGCCGGCUCCGGGUUCCCCACCCCAGCGGCCGGGAAGCCGCCCUGCGCCCCGUUGCCGUCUCCACCAACCGCGCCCAUCGGCGCCUCCGCACGCCCCGUGCCGACUCCCGCUCGCCCCGCGCGUCUGCGUGCCUUCUCCGGAUCUGCCCCGGGCCCCACACGUCGUCUCCGCGCCGGCUACGUGCCUCCGUCCGGUUCCGCGUGCAGCACCGGCUCCGUCCGCAUCCCGGCCGGCUCCGGUCCCGCUCGUGCCUCGCAGCACCACCAAUUCGGCUGCCUCCAGAGGCACGCCGGCCUCCUCUGCUCGUCGUCUCUACCCCGACCAGCUGCUCCGGCCUCGUCUUCAACCCGGCCCGCCGCCUCCGCUCCCGCGCCGCGUCCCUGCCGCCGGCUGCUGCCGCGACCCGGCCUCCUGCGCUGGGCGGCUCCGCCCAGCGACCCGGCCUGCCGGCUCCCCCGCAACACGGACGACCGGCUCCGCCGCCUGCCGUCUCCGCCGCAACCUGGCCGCCGGCUUCACCGCGACCCGGCCGCCGGCUGCCGCCGUCCCGCUCCUGCCGACUGCUCAGGCAGUGAAAAAGAUGCCGACUGCAGAAAAGAUGAAGAAAGAAGCAAAAAAAAGGGAGGGCGGGUGAGAGAAAACUCAGGGGCCGGCUGCCCAGGCCGGCUGAGAAAGAAGUGGCCGAGUCCUAAAAAAAAGGAGAGAAAAGAAGAGGCCGACUGCCAGCUAAAAAAGUCAAAGGUCGGAUGCUUGAGGCCGGCUGGAGUGUGUCCGACUGCACACAGCCGACUGAAAAAAAAGAAGGAAAGAAAGAGGUCGGCUGGGACAAAGAAAAGGAAAAACUCCGUCUAUCCGUCUGCCUGCUUCGUCACUCGGACGGCUGGACGCGACCUGGCCUGCCUGUCCGCCUCGACGCCUGGCUGGUCGAGCCUCGGCCCGAAUCUCGGGGGCUACACCCAGCGGGUGCGCUGA
RNAcentral lists this ribosomal RNA (1056 nucleotides) under Triticum aestivum (bread wheat). RNAcentral's name for it is "partial small subunit ribosomal RNA". The record is from RNAcentral. Lineage: Eukaryota; Viridiplantae; Streptophyta; Magnoliopsida; Poales; Poaceae.